AUUCGCGGCCUAUCAGCUUGUUGGUGGGGUAACGGCCCACCAAGGCUUCGACGGGUAGCCGGCCUGAGAGGGUGACCGGCCACACUGGGACUGAGACACGGCCCAGACUCCUACGGGAGGCAGCAGUGGGGAAUAUUGGACAAUGGGCGAAAGCCUGAUCCAGCAACGCCGCGUGAGGGAUGACGGCCUUCGGGUUGUAAACCUCUUUCAGCGCAGACGAAGCGAAAGUGACGGUAUGCGCAGAAGAAGCACCGGCCAACUACGUGCCAGCAGCCGCGGUAAUACGUAGAGUGCGAGCGUUGUCCGGAAUUAUUGGGCGUAAAGGGCUCGUAGGCGGUUUGUCGCGUCAGGAGUGAAAACUCGGGGCUCAACCCCGAGCCUGCUUCUGAUACGGGCAGACUAGAGGUAUGCAGGGGAGAACGGAAUUCCUGGUGUAGCGGUGAAAUGCGCAGAUAUCAGGAGGAACACCGGUGGCGAAGGCGGUUCUCUGGGCAUUACCUGACGCUGAGGAGCGAAAGUGUGGGGAGCGAACAGGAUUAGAUACCCUGGUAGUCCACACCGUAAACGUUGGGCGCUAGGUGUGGGACUCAUUCCACGAGUUCCGUGCCGCAGCUAACGCAUUAAGCGCCCCGCCUGGGGAGUACGGAAU
RNAcentral lists this ribosomal RNA (649 nucleotides) under uncultured Actinomycetes bacterium. RNAcentral describes it as "bacterial SSU rRNA". It matches the Rfam family "Bacterial small subunit ribosomal RNA", at positions 229 to 888 of the family's 1533-position model. Lineage: Bacteria; Bacillati; Actinomycetota; Actinomycetes. The record is from RNAcentral.